UGGUCCAUGAUCGGAGAGACAUUGUUGAGGAUGAGGGAGACAUCGUCCAUGAUCAGAGACAUUGUCCAUGAUCGCAGAGACCUUGUCAAAGAUGAGAGAGACGUUGUCCGUGAUCAGAGACAUUGUCCCAUGCUUCGUAGAGACCUUGCGAUAGAAUCGGCGGAGACGGGGGUCACCGAUUUGACGGCACUGCCCGCGAUCAUGGGAACAUUGUCGAUGGUCACAGAGACACCGUCUAUGAUCUCAGAGACAUCGUCCACGAUCACAAAGACAUUGACCAUGAUCGCAGAGACUUUGUCCAUAAUCUCAGAGACAUUGUCCGCGAUCAAAGAGACGUAGUCCACGAUCACAGAGAGUCUUUGUACAAUGAAGUUCUUUGAGACCAGGACAGAGGCCUCCAGGUGUCACCACUUUAUCCACAACAUCGUCCACGAUCGCAGAGACUUCGUCCAUGAUCGGAGAGACAUUGUUGAGGAUGAGGGAGACAUCGUCCAUGAUCAGAGACAUUGUCCAUGAUCGCAGAGACCUUGUCAAAGAUGAGAGAGACGUUGUCCGUGAUCAGAGACAUUGUCCCAUGCUUCGUAGAGACCUUGCGAUAGAAUCGGCGGAGACGGGGGUCACCGAUUUGACGGCACUGCCCGCGAUCAUGGAAACAUUUUCGAUGAUCACAGAGACACCGUCUAUGAUCUCAGAGACAUCGUCCACGAUCACAAAGACAUUGACCAUGAUCGCAGAGACUUUGUCCAUAAUCUCAGAGACAUUGUCCGCGAUCAAAGAGACGUAGUCCACGAUCACAGAGAGUCUUUGUACAAUGAAGUUCUUUGAGACCAGGACAGAGGCCUCCAGGUGUCACCACUUUAUCCACAACAUCGUCCACGAUCGCAGAGACUUCGUCCAUGAUCGGAGAGACAUUGUUGAGGAUGAGGGAGACAUCGUCCAUGAUCAGAGACAUUGUCCAUGAUCGCAGAGACCUUGUCAAAGAUGAGAGAGACGUUGUCCGUGAUCAGAGACAUUGUCCCAUGCUUCGUAGAGACCUUGCGAUAGAAUCGGCGGAGACGGGGGUCACCGAUUUGACGGCACUGCCCGCGAUCAUGGAAACAUUUUUGAUGGUCACAGAGACACCGUCUAUGAUCUCAGAGACAUCGUCCACGAUCACAAAGACAUUGACCAUGAUCGCAGAGACUUUGUCCAUAAUCUCAGAGACAUUGUCCGCGAUCAAAGAGACGUAGUCCACGAUCACAGAAAGUCUUUGUACAAUGAAGUUCUUUGAGACCAGGACAGAGGCCUCCAGCUGAAUUCAGGGAACGGAA
Molecule: long non-coding RNA, 1310 nt
Organism: Lates calcarifer (barramundi perch)
Lineage: Eukaryota; Metazoa; Chordata; Actinopteri; Centropomidae
Exons: 4
Source: RefSeq, a predicted model, not a curated record